Molecule: long non-coding RNA, 1670 nt
Organism: Taeniopygia guttata (zebra finch)
Lineage: Eukaryota; Metazoa; Chordata; Aves; Passeriformes; Estrildidae
Source: Ensembl
UCUUUAAUGGCUUCCUUUAAUUACAUGUCUUCAUAAAAACGCUACCGCUCUCGAACACAGCAUCCUUUUAUUCUUCAAGAGGAUCUAAUUUCUGAAACAACAGAAAUUAAGGCACUGAUGCUUUAUUUGGACAAAUUAACAGAAAAAAACCCACUCACACAGCUCUAGCAGAAAGUAUAGGAAUCGUGUUCUAUUACCUUGUCAUCUACCUUGAUAUUAUUAGGAAUACUUUCCAAGUCAGCCCAGUGGACUGCUGGGAUCAAUGUUACACUGACAGUGAAGUGGACUGGGAUGGGAUUUUGGCAGCAGCCCAAGGGAAGGUGAGAUGCCUUCCCUGCUGCUCCUGGCCUUGCCCCACAUGUCCUUGGCUCAGGUUCCGUGGCGGUUCCGUGGUCACCAGGGGCAGGAACCCCCUUCCCGUUGCCCCGCUCCAAGGAGUGCAGUAAUUCCGUGCACUCAGCAGCACCAAGGGGCAUUUUUAGGGUCAGGUAACCUUGCCCACUCUUGUGGAAAGCCUGAGGAGCUCCAGGAGGGAUUAAAAGAAGAGAUCUUCCUCCCCUGUUCAGCAGGUACAGCAAAAGGAUUUAUAACAAUUGGAAAUUCUCGAUGGCAGACUCCAUGGCUGUUAGAGGAGGAGCUUCAGGAUACAUGCACUACUUGAAAGUAUUUUCAGUGACUUCUUGAAAACUAUUGAGAUGUCAGUGGCUGGAAACAGGAUCCUGUGUUUGCAGAACACUUGGUGCUUGUCCUUGCUGGGAAGCUGUUGAAGUGUCGAGAGCCAGUGGGUGGGGUUUUUGACUCCUGUGUGAUGUUGGAAGGACACAGAGUAGCCUCAAGGUGCUGCUGUCCCUUUAAAACCCUCCUUUUGUCUGUUGACUCAGUGAUUUACAAUAAAACAUAAUUUUAUUUCUCUCAGCUAAUUACAAACUCCUCCCUUCCAAACUCCUGAUCUCUUCACACAGCCAAAGGCAUCAAUGGCAGAGCCGAGCCCGGAUUUGGGAGCUGGCAGUGCUGCACCACUAUUCCCGCAGCAGCCGGGUGCUUCUCCCUGUGCCUCUGGAGCCUGCCAUUGUGCUGGGAAGUGGAGCAGGUAACCACUUCAUCAGUCUGAGAUUCCAUUCUCGUGGAGCACGGAGGUUCAUUAUACUCACUUUAUCAGCAGUGCGCUUUACUGCCGAAUCCAUGAGAGAUAUUCAUGUGAAACAUGAGCAGAGAGAGAGGUAUUGCAUCUUUUCAUUAAUAAGCCCUCUUCUGGGAUCCGGCAUUAGUGAGAUUCAGCGGAUCAUAGAGCACAGGGGUAUCAUUUUUACAUGAUUACUCUAAAUUCUUAAACCAGAGGCUUAAGAGAGAGGCUUCUCACAAAGGCAGCUGUGGGAAUUGUUAAAUGAUUGGCACAGCACUCACGAUGGGCUGAACCACUCUGGGUACCUCCAGUUAUUGGGGGGGGGGGGGUACCAGCAGGCAUUUUAUUACCUGCCACCGAGGGAAAAGUAGAAAAGAGAGAGUGUAUCAGACAGAGGAAGACGUGCUAACCCUGCAAAAUAUCUCAGUAGUUUUGUCUCUCCUCCUGGAAAAAAAUUCUUGUGAUAAUCCUGAUGCAGUGUAUCAUCCCACUGCAUAGGCUGAGCCAUUCCCUUCCCUUCCCUUCCCUUCCCUUCCCUUCCCUUCCC